Molecule: non-coding RNA, 4274 nt
Organism: Nothobranchius furzeri (turquoise killifish)
Lineage: Eukaryota; Metazoa; Chordata; Actinopteri; Cyprinodontiformes; Nothobranchiidae
Source: RefSeq, a predicted model, not a curated record
CUGAUGCUAAAUAGUAAAAUGGUUGUUUUUCUGAAAAGCAGUGAAGCUGUGGGCCCAUUUUCUGUCUUCUCCUGACAGCCCUGUGAUGUGUUCAAAGCCUCAGUUGGGAAAUCAGCCUUAGUAUAGCGCCGUCACAAACAAUCACAGCUCAUUACCAACCACACACUACCCCAUUUGCUUGCGCUAUCAGAGGUGUCUACACGUGUGUGUGUUGCCACACUCGCCAAUGCUGAUAUUUAGCUUGCAGCUCUGAGUUUAUGAUGAUUUUGUUUGUGCACAAUGCAGAAUGAGCACUAAGGUGGCCCGCUUUGAGGCUCUAAGUUGGUGAAUGAGCUCUGUUGCCAGACAGGUUGUUGAUGCACCCAUAGGCCCGUGACCUUGCAAAGAGUAGAGCAACUGUCAAAUUCAACGAGAGGGUGCUUUUAUCUGCUCAGCGCCCCGACGCAGCACACUCAACCAAUUAUCUCCCUGUCAGACGUAAACACGUAAACCGUGUUGUUAGUCUCUGUCCAUGUUGUUUUUUGUGAAGGACACGAUGAUCACAACCAACCUCGAGUCGGUGAGAGGGCCAUUCCAUGAAUUGAGUGUAAUUGGCGAGGAGAGCUGCGAGCCAGUUGCUCUUUGUGUAAGCAGAUUACAGGCUGGCAAAGCUGAGACCCCCUCAGGGUGCCGAAACAUGGUCGUCGGUACGUGGUGUGUAAAACAAGCAUGUCACUCAUGAAUUAUACAUGGGAGAAUGUCCAGCCAUGGAACUGGAACACUGGAGAAAACAAGACAAUAGGAGGAGGUAGAGAAAGAAGGAGGGAACUCACAGCACAACGGUUGAACGGAUACAGGUGUAGCCAUCCUGCAGCGAUACAGCUGGAUGAGAUAAACGUGUGUGCCGACCUUUGGAUCGAUUUGAACACAGAAUUGCAAAAAUAAAAAAAUAAGUCAGUUGUUUUGUGCAAAAAAAACCCUCAUUCUUAAGGAUCAGGGGCCUCAUUUAUAAAGCUUGCUUACGCACAAAACGGGGUCAGAAAACUGCGUAAGCACCUUUCCACUAGCCUGGCAAGCCAGACUAAAAUUUGGUCUAGUUCACUAGGCUACCUUUCCACGCAAACUUUGGGAUUUAUAAAAGAAAACUUUGCGGAGAAAUUUGCACAAGUUUAAGUUGACUAAGGACCUGGCUUACGCACAUUUUGGACAUGGAGAGCACCUGCGCUGCUGCUGCUGAGAAGGAAACAAUUAUGAAUUCCAGCAUCAUUAUCAAUUGUACUGCUUCCAUGUGUGCCAUGCACUCGAGGCGCACUGGUGGGACAGGCCGACCCUGCAGCCACAUCUUCGGUCGCCGCCUGGGAUGCAUCGUUGGCUGCUUCAUCCACAAUCACUGGGGGGAAACAACAAGAUUUGGUUUUGUUUCAUCUUUUAAUGAUGGACACAUUUGAUCUGUGUUAAUAAAAAGCUUAAACGUUACCAGUCUCCUCUGCAUGGUCAGUGUCUCCCUCAUUCUCCGGCACAAUGCCACGCACGCUUGCUGGUCUGAGUACUGCUGAGGUCCUAAUGGCAAGUGGAGGGGGAUCAGAGGUGCCAGGGCCUCCGCCAGUGGAAGACACACUCUGGCGGUGGCAAAACAUCUUUUUUUUGCCUCCAUCUUCAGAUCGGACCAUUAUUUAAUAUCCGCCACAGAACUCUCUGAAGAACUCACAGCAUUGCUGGCUUCAGCAACGCUGUGCCACUCUGUGGAUUUUCUCUUAUUUGUUUAGCAAAAGCACUUCCUUUCAUUUUUCCUCCUCACUCACAAGUACCUUAAUUUCUGCUUCAGUGAAAUUGCACUUCCUUGAUCUGUGGUCGCCAUUGUUAAUGGUGGAAUGCCGCAAUGAGCCGGCUUAUAUAUAUGCAUGAGAUCCACAAGGCUCUUUGCAUUGACCAUUUAUGGCAGAAAGUGGGCGUGUCGAGGGCGGGAUGUGAUCCAGAAACACCUGAGAACCUUUCUAGGUAGUUUGUGAUUUAUAAAGAGGAGAUUGCAUGUAGCUGUGUGUACUCCAUUUUUUUAUAGGUCAAAAACCUACUUGGCAUAAGUACAUUUUUUUUGCUGAGCUUAAGUACGGUUUUAGUGAGGAUUCUACGCAAUGUUUUAUAAAUGAGACACCUUGUCCUUAUGCAAGUUUUAGUAAUAAUUUGCUUCAGUUUUAGGAUUAAGUUUAUCAACUCAAACGGGACCCUUUUGGGAAAUCAAGCUCCCAGCAGAGUGAUUUAUUGUCAUUAAACGAAAAAUAAGUAAUCAGAAAGUACCCAAAAAAUAGUCUGACUCACCCUGACUUCACACUGGAGGCAUCAGAGAAUCAGAGCGGCAUUGGAAUGUUGCUUCUUUAAAUAUAAUUUGUUGCAAUCUAUGGGUUGAUCCAAACCGGCCACGCCGUGCCACGAUGCUGAAGAUAGGAUUGGGUACAAUCGGCAUGAGGACUGGGGUCCUUACAGUAAGUAUACAAAAAAUGUAUAAAACUACAGUCCCAUUGUGCAACGACCUAGCUUGGACAUCCUACAGAUGUGGUCUGGACCAACGGACUCAAUAUAGACAUAAUCUGUACGUCCAUAUAAUGCUGACUGUGUGCAGGGGCCUAGAGGCUCUUUCAAGCAAUGUCAGGAAUGCAGAACUUUCAAGUACACAGAUGGCAGGAACGGCCAAUCACACGUUAGCAAGUAUCAGCAGAGCCAAUAGAUGAGCUUAAGGAUGGUUCUAAUGAGAAACAGGUUUGAACACAAGCGGUUGUUUUAUGCUUGGUCCUAGUGCUCAACCAGUGUCUGUUUAAAGUAGUGUAAUGUUGUUUUUGGAUGGUAAAAAGUGCAGGGGACAAAAACUGUAUUUGGAAAAAGUGUGUGUGUACGUACAUGCUGCUCAGAAUAGAAAUAUUACAACUGUGUAUUUUUCAAAUUUUGGCAUUCACUUGCAAAAGGCUGGCCAGUGGAGGGCCGUGUACAGGUCUACUCGUUGAAAUGUAUUGAUGCAUAAUUUUGAAACACUUGUAUUUAGUGAACUUUACCUGAGAAGGGAUCAAUUUUAAAGACAUGCAAAUAUCUUGAAAACAAAACUGCCAUAAUUUUAGGUAAUCAAUUUAUUUGUGUGCACUUUUUAUUUUUAAUGGUGCGUAUUAUGUAUGUACAAACAUAAGUUGCAUCAGUUAUUGCUUUUUUGGCUGUUCUUAAUAUUUUAUUUAAGUCUCAAAAAUUAUUCAGGUUCUGUGAGGUUCAUGUUCUAUUGGAGGUUCUGUGAAACGGCAUGUUUCUUGACUAUUAAUAUAACAGGAAUUUAGUAAUUUGUUGUACAGACAGUUUAAAUCUUUAUUUAGCAUAUUUAAAGAAAAAUGAAUUAUACUUUAAAAGUGCUAAGGCAAAAUACCUCACAUCUCAGCAGGAAUGUAAGUGCACUAUAAGAGCCUGAAGUAAAUGUUUUUUCACAUAAUUUUUUAUUAUUUAACACUCGUUUUACUUGACAGACUCUCAGAAGAAAGUAACGUGGUAAUAAAAGUCUCGCUUCUGGCUCUAUUUUAGUGAUAAAUAAAUAAUACCUUUUAGUGCUUUGGUAUGCAAGGGUAUGAGAUGAUAUUUUCAUUCAAGCCUUUUCUUUGUCUCUGCUCAUUUUAGGAAUUGGGCAUCAUUAAUCACAUGCUUUCAACCAAAAUUACGAGGAAUCUGCACUGCAGGAGCCCCCCAGAACAGCAUUCAGCCACUCAGAGUGCCACAGUUGUUGAUGAUGCUCAUUCCAAGACGCACGAGAAAACAAAAACAAAAUCAGCACGCAAAAAUGCCAGCCUCCAGUUGGGAUUGUCCAGAGCCAAAUGAGCAUUCCCUAUGCUGCCUUACAAGACCAAUCACACUGCCAUUGGUUCCACGCGCUGCUUUGGCUGACACAUCUGAACACUGCAGACCAGCUCUGUCGGUGGUGGUGGAGCAGGUUGAUGCCCCUGUAUUACCCCAUGUGCCAGUGACACUUUUCACCACACAACCUUGGAACGAGUGUGUGGGGGAUCCUGGCAGAUUUGUCACAGCCCACAGACUGAAACACCCAAAAGUCCUUUUGCACACUGACGUGCACAAAUUCAACCCCAGGGGACAUGCACAAGAAAAAAACACACAGAGCUGACAAUGUGCACUUUUUUUUAGAUCAAAUUCAUGAGUUAACAGAGACAUAAAUGCUGGAAGAACGUCUACAUCCCUGAUCACUCUUUAAUCAGCUGUAUAUCAAUUUCAGUGAAUAUAUGACAAUGUUUAAUAAUUAAAAAAUAUAAAUAAAA